RNAcentral lists this small RNA (28 nucleotides) under Bombyx mori (domestic silkworm). RNAcentral's name for it is "piRNA piR-bmo-1499369". Lineage: Eukaryota; Metazoa; Arthropoda; Insecta; Lepidoptera; Bombycidae. The record is from RNAcentral.
UAUUUGCACUAUCACUUGACCUCUUAUC